Molecule: ribosomal RNA, 357 nt
Filed under: uncultured soil bacterium
Lineage: Bacteria
Description: bacterial SSU rRNA
Rfam family: Bacterial small subunit ribosomal RNA
Source: RNAcentral
AGAUUGAACGCUGGCGGCAUGCCUUACACAUGCAAGUCGAACGGUAACGCGGGGGCAACCUGGCGACGAGUGGCGAACGGGUGAGUAAUGCAUCGGAACGUGCCCAGUAGUGGGGGAUAGCUCGGCGAAAGCCGGAUUAAUACCGCAUACGACCUAAGGGUGAAAGCGGGGGACCGUAAGGCCUCGCGCUAUUGGAGCGGCCAUGUCAGAUUUAGGGUUGUUGGUAGGGGUAAAAGCCUACCAAGCCGACGAUCUGUAGCUGGUCUGAGAGGACGACCAGCCACACUGGACGUGAGACACGGCCCAGACCUCCUACGGGAGGCAGCAGUGGGAAUUUGGACAGUGGGGCACCUGAUC